Molecule: ribosomal RNA, 911 nt
Filed under: Drechslera dactylidis
Lineage: Eukaryota; Fungi; Ascomycota; Dothideomycetes; Pleosporales; Pleosporaceae
Description: LSU rRNA
Rfam family: Eukaryotic large subunit ribosomal RNA
Source: RNAcentral
UAGCAUAUCAAUAAGCGGAGGAAAAGAAACCAACAGGGAUUGCCCUAGUAACGGCGAGUGAAGCGGCAACAGCUCAAAUUUGAAAUCUGGCUCUUUCAGGGUCCGAGUUGUAAUUUGCAGAGGGCGCUUUGGCUUUGGCAGCGGUCCAAGUUCCUUGGAACAGGACGUCACAGAGGGUGAGAAUCCCGUACGUGGUCGCUAGCUAUUGCCGUGUAAAGCCCCUUCGACGAGUCGAGUUGUUUGGGAAUGCAGCUCUAAAUGGGAGGUAAAUUUCUUCUAAAGCUAAAUACUGGCCAGAGACCGAUAGCGCACAAGUAGAGUGAUCGAAAGAUGAAAAGCACUUUGGAAAGAGAGUCAAACAGCACGUGAAAUUGUUGAAAGGGAAGCGCUUGCAGCCAGACUUGCUUGCAGUUGCUCAUCCGGGCUUUUGCCCGGUGCACUCUUCUGCAGGCAGGCCAGCAUCAGUUUGGGCGGUGGGAUAAAGGUCUCUGUCACGUACCUCUCUUCGGGGAGGCCUUAUAGGGGAGACGACAUACCACCAGCCUGGACUGAGGUCCGCGCAUUCGCUAGGAUGCUGGCGUAAUGGCUGUAAGCGGCCCGUCUUGAAACACGGACCAAGGAGUCUAACAUCUAUGCGAGUGUUUGGGUGUCAAGCCCGAACGCGUAAUGAAAGUGAACGGAGGUGGGAACCCGCAAGGGUGCACCAUCGACCGAUCCUGAUGUCUUCGGAAGGAUUUGAGUAAGAGCAUGGCUGUUGGGACCCGAAAGAUGGUGAACUAUGCUUGAAUAGGGUGAAGCCAGAGGAAACUCUGGUGGAGGCUCGCAGCGGUUCUGACGUGCAAAUCGAUCGUCAAAUUUGGGCAUAGGGGCGAAAGACUAAUCGAACUAUCUAGUAGCUGGUUCCUGCCGAG